GUCCACGCUGUAAACGAUGGGUGCUAGGUGUCGUGGGUAUUGACCCCUGCGGUGCCGAAGUUAACGCAUUAAGCACCCCGCCUGGGGAGUACGGCCGCAAGGCUAAAACUCAAAGGAAUUGACGGGGGCCCGCACAAGCGGUGGAGUAUGUGGUUUAAUUCGACGCAACGCGAAGAACCUUACCUGGGUUAAAUCCUUCAGAAUCCCCUAGAGAUAGGGGAGUGCCCGCAAGGGAGCUGGAUGGAAGGUGCUGCAUGGCUGUCGU
Molecule: ribosomal RNA, 265 nt
Filed under: uncultured bacterium
Lineage: Bacteria
Description: partial 16S ribosomal RNA
Rfam family: Bacterial small subunit ribosomal RNA
Source: RNAcentral